UAAAGCGUGCGCAGGCGGUUAUAUAAGACAGAUGUGAAAUCCCGGGCUCAACCUGGGAACUGCAUUUGUGACUGUAUAGCUGGAGUGCGGCAGAGGGGGAUGGAAUUCCGCGUGUAGCAGUGAAAUGCGUAGAUAUGCGGAGGAACACCGAUGGCGAAGGCAAUCCCCUGGGCCUGCACUGACGCUCAUGCACGAAAGCGUGGGGAGCAAACAGGAUUAGAUACCCUAGU
RNAcentral lists this ribosomal RNA (230 nucleotides) under uncultured bacterium. RNAcentral's name for it is "partial 16S ribosomal RNA". It matches the Rfam family "Bacterial small subunit ribosomal RNA", at positions 561 to 791 of the family's 1533-position model. The record is from RNAcentral.